Molecule: non-coding RNA, 1758 nt
Organism: Nicotiana tabacum (common tobacco)
Lineage: Eukaryota; Viridiplantae; Streptophyta; Magnoliopsida; Solanales; Solanaceae
Source: RefSeq, a predicted model, not a curated record
CAACUCUCUCCCAAAUAGCCUUCCUCAUUAACAAAGAUUACGAGGAGAAGACAAACCACCAUCGACGGCAAUGAUGGCGUCACCAUUGGAAAAUCUCCUUAAGGUUAAUAUUCAUCUUGCUAAUAUGCUAGGGUUUCUCAAAAUGGUGUUCGAGUUCAUUGGUAGAGAAUCAAAUCUGUUCAUGUGGUGAAAGAUAAGUUGAAAACUAAUCGAAGAGCCAUCGUCUUUGUUGUUCAACUUAUUAAUUUUUUCUUCCUUAAAAUUGUCGCACGAUUUUCGCCUUUGAAGCAGAAAAGUAGCAGCUUUCGCGGUCUUCUUGUCAAGGGAUCAAUGCGAUAUCUGAGCUCGUAAACAUCGGAUCUUUUUAAUAUUUAUCAGCGACAAGUAGGAGGUUGUUGCUAUAACCACUGCUAACCAAGAGGAGAUAUUUUCCGAGAUGAGAAUUGGAGAUUGAAGAAGUUCUAAAUUCAUUUCUUAGGAAGCAGGCUAUAUUCUUUUCUUGAGGUAUGUUCUGUAUAAAGCUUUUCUUGAUUACCAUAUUCAUUGCAUUCUUUUAUCUUGUCAAGCUUACAUUGUUCUCAAUUUGAAGUGUUAUCUAAUUUGCAAUUUCAUUAAUAUUUGUCAUGCUAUCAUAUGAAAGACGUCUAUUUAUUUGCUUUUAUUUCUUUCUUCUUGGAGCUCAUGUGUAUCUAAUUUUGAACACAGGAAAGCAGAUCAAGAAUUUGAACUUGAAAGCGAUGAAAUAAUUUAGUGUUAAGAGUUUGCUAAUUACUGGUACUAGUGUCAAAAGUUUUCUAAUUUAGAGAGGGUGCAACUUGUCUGCAGAAUAUUAAAACCAUUCGUGCCUUUAUUCCAAGAGGUUGUAUUUUUGAAAAAUAUUGUUUGAACAGCUGUUGGUGGUUCUUUUACCCGAUUGCUCGGUAUUUUGCUACUAUGAAGUUUCUUGACAUAAGGAAGGUGUUCGUGGAAUUGCUACGCAUCUUUCUUUCAAGUGUUUCUGAAUCUUCUUCUCAUAUCCUACUUCAUAAGCGAAUGAAUGUAUAUCCACGACUUAAUGCAUAUUUCCAAGUUGAUGGUAGCACAAUUUUUGCGCUAAAUAAUCAAGUAUUUUUUGAAUAUGGGUUCUUGUAUACAAUCUAAAACUACAGGGAUGUGUUUGUCGUCCUUCUUUAGAAUACUGCCAUCAAUUUUUCUGUAUGUAGUAAUCUUCUAACUAUUUGCUCUCAAUAGAUAAAUGAGUAUAUAUGUCUCAUUGUUGUAGUAUACGUGAGGGAGAUGUCAUCAACUCCCCUGGAUGGAUUCUUUCUCUUGUUGUUUUAGCUUAGAUGUUCUCCUCUUACUAAUGCUACCAAGUUUAGUUACAGCAUGUACUGGAACAUAGGAUGCCAGAGGAGCGUUCGUCUAUAAUUAGUAAGCUGAUGGGAUAGAUAGUCCAGAUGAGCCAGCAAAAGUUUGCCUCCAAUUUUGUGGAGAAGUGAUUAAGCUUCGCAACUCCCAAAGAAUGUCAGACCUUGGUAGACGAGAUGCUUGGCACAAAUGAUGAAAAUUAACCUCUUCGGAUGGAGCAACUGAAGAAAGGGGAGAUGGAGAUAGUGAAGAUCUAGACUUUAAGAAGAACUUUGAAUUGUUGUCGAUGUUCUAGGAGUCUUUUGUUAUCAACAUUUGAAAAUUUAACUUUUGAAGUGUUGAACUGUAAAACGUAUGUGAUUGGGUUAAAAUAUUUUGCUAUUAUGGUUAUUAUUAGCUUAUUGGACAAUA